UGAGUAGAGUGGCGCACGGGUGAGUAACGCGUGGGUAAUCUACCCUUGGAUUUGGGAUAACUCUGCGAAAGUGGAGCUAAUACCGGAUAGUCUGGCUUUAAAUAAGAAGUCGGUAAAGGAUGCCUCUGCAUAUGCAUUCGUCCGAGGAUGAGCCCGCGUCUCAUUAGCUAGUUGGUAGGGUAAUGGCCUACCAAGGCAACGAUGAGUAGCUGGUCUGAGAGGAUGAUCAGCCACACUGGAACUGAAACACGGUCCAGACUCCUACGGGAGGCAGCAGUGGGGAAUAUUGCGCAAUGGGCGAAAGCCUGACGCAGCAACGCCGUGUGAGGGAUGAAGGCUUUCGGGUCGUAAACCUCUGUCGGAAGGGAAGAACGGGCAUUGGUCUAAUAGGCCUUUGUUUUGACGGUACCUUUAGAGGAAGCACCGGCUAACUCCGUGCCAGCAGCCGCGGUAAUACGGAGGGUGCAAGCGUUAUUCGGAAUUACUGGGCGUAAAGCGCACGUAGGCGGCCUUGUAAGUCAGGGGUGAAAUCCCACGGCUCAACCGUGGAACUGCCUUUGAAACUGCAGGGCUUGAAUCCUGGAGAGGGUGGCGGAAUUCCUGGUGUAGGAGUGAAAUCCGUAGAUAUCAGGAGGAACACCGGUGGCGAAGGCGGCCACCUGGACAGGUAUUGACGCUGAGGUGCGAAAGUGUGGGGAGCAAACAGGAUUAGAUACCCUGGUAGUCCACACCGUAAACGAUGGAUACUAGGUGUCGGGGACUUGAUCUUCGGUGCCGUAGCUAACGCGUUAAGUAUCCCGCCUGGGGAGUACGGUCGCAAGGCUGAAACUCAAAGAAAUUGACGGGGGCCCGCACAAGCGGUGGAGUAUGUGGUUUAAUUCGAUGCAACGCGAAGAACCUUACCUAGGCUUGACAUCCUGGGAAUCCUGCAGAGAUGCGGGAGUGC
This 946-nucleotide ribosomal RNA is filed under the name delta proteobacterium FM3-E4. Its description in RNAcentral is "bacterial SSU rRNA". It matches the Rfam family "Bacterial small subunit ribosomal RNA", at positions 87 to 1017 of the family's 1533-position model. Lineage: Bacteria; Deltaproteobacteria. The record is from RNAcentral.